UCAAAACAGCGGACCUCGGUCCUUGCUGCACCCUUGUCUUUUGCGCACCGUAUUGUUUCCUCGGCGGGCUUGCCUGCCGGUUGGACAUUAUCAAAACCUUUUUGUAGUUGCAAUCAGCGUCAGAAAAACAAUAAUUAUUA
RNAcentral lists this unclassified non-coding RNA (140 nucleotides) under soil metagenome. Its description in RNAcentral is "partial internal transcribed spacer 1". The record is from RNAcentral.